GUGGCGUAUGGGGCGCAGCCUGAUGCAGCCAUGCCGCGUGUAUGAAGAAGGCCUUCGGGUUGUAAAGUACUUUCAGCGGGGAGGAAAGGAGUAAAGUUAAUACCUUUGCUCAUUGACGUUACCCGCAGAAGAAGCACCGGCUAACUCCGUGCCAGCAGCCGCGGUAAUAG
Molecule: ribosomal RNA, 170 nt
Filed under: uncultured Pseudomonadota bacterium
Lineage: Bacteria; Pseudomonadati; Pseudomonadota
Description: uncultured proteobacterium partial 16S ribosomal RNA
Rfam family: Bacterial small subunit ribosomal RNA
Source: RNAcentral